This 497-nucleotide ribosomal RNA is filed under the name uncultured bacterium. RNAcentral describes it as "partial 16S ribosomal RNA". It matches the Rfam family "Bacterial small subunit ribosomal RNA", at positions 28 to 507 of the family's 1533-position model. The record is from RNAcentral.
GACGAACGCUGGCGGCGUGCCUAAUACAUGCAAGUAGAACGCUGAAGAGAGGAGCUUGCUCUUCUUGGAUGAGUUGCGAACGGGUGAGUAACGCGUAGGUAACCUGCCUUGUAGCGGGGGAUAACUAUUGGAAACGAUAGCUAAUACCGCAUAACAAUGGAUGACACAUGUCAUUUAUUUGAAAGGGGCAAUUGCUCCACUACAAGAUGGACCUGCGUUGUAUUAGCUAGUAGGUGAGGUAACGGCUCACCUAGGCGACGAUACAUAGCCGACCUGAGAGGGGUGACGGCCCACCCGGGACUGAGACACGGCCCAGACUCCUACGGGAGGCAGCAGUAGGGAAUCUUCGGCAAUGGGGGCAACCCUGACCGAGCAACGCCGCGUGAGUGAAGAAGGUUUUCGGAUCGUAAAGCUCUGUUGUAAGUCAAGAACGAGUGUGAGAGUGGAAAGUUCACACUGUGACGGUAGCUUACCAGAAAGGGACGGCUAACUACGUG